Molecule: ribosomal RNA, 468 nt
Filed under: uncultured bacterium
Lineage: Bacteria
Description: partial 16S ribosomal RNA
Rfam family: Bacterial small subunit ribosomal RNA
Source: RNAcentral
GACGAACGCUGGCGGCGUGCUUAACACAUGCAAGUCGAACGGAAAGGCCCUGCUUUUGUGGGGUGCUCGAGUGGCGAACGGGUGAGUAACACGUGAGUAACCUGCCCUUGACUUUGGGAUAACUUCAGGAAACUGGGGCUAAUACCGGAUAGGAGCUCCUGCUGCAUGGUGGGGGUUGGAAAGUUUCGGCGGUUGGGGAUGGACUCGCGGCUUAUCAGCUUGUUGGUGGGGUAGUGGCUUACCAAGGCUUUGACGGGUAGCCGGCCUGAGAGGGUGACCGGCCACAUUGGGACUGAGAGACGGCCCAGACGCCUACGGGAGGCGGCAGUGGGGAAUAUUGCACAAUGGGCGGAAGCCUGAUGCAGCAACGCCGCGUGCGGGAUGACGGCCUUCGGGUUGUAAACCGCUUUCGCCUGUGACGAAGCGUGAGUGACGGUAAUGGGUAAAGAAGCACCGGCUAACUACGUG